Molecule: transfer RNA, 87 nt
Filed under: Pseudomonadota bacterium
Lineage: Bacteria; Pseudomonadati; Pseudomonadota
Also listed under: 1 other name
Description: tRNA-Leu
Rfam family: tRNA
About the family: Transfer RNA (tRNA) molecules are approximately 80 nucleotides in length.
Source: RNAcentral
GCCUCUGUGGCGGAAUUGGUAGACGCGAUAGACUCAAAAUCUAUUGUCCCCUGGGACGUGUCCGUUCGAUUCGGAUCGGAGGUACCA